Long non-coding RNA from Hibiscus syriacus, 272 nucleotides. RefSeq lists it as uncharacterized. Lineage: Eukaryota; Viridiplantae; Streptophyta; Magnoliopsida; Malvales; Malvaceae. The record is from RefSeq and is a predicted model, not a curated record. The transcript has 3 exons.
UUAAUCUGUUAGGCACAUGGAGAUCAUAAGAGGCCAAACUUCAGGCUAGAGAACACAAUUCCAUUAACCAAUGGCAGUAAUAACAUCUCCCUUUUAAUUGUCACCGUUGGUUUACGGGAUUCAGGAGCCUAUCUAGAGAGAAGGGUAACAGGGCUGCGGAGGGUAAAGAUUCAUGACAUAAAAAAAUCAACGGAUUUGACCAAUUAUCGGUGGGGUUAUCAGAUUGGACUAAUAGGAGAGAGAUAAGAAAUAUAUAAGGACCAAAGUUCAAG